This 429-nucleotide long non-coding RNA is filed under the name Equus asinus (donkey). Its description in RNAcentral is "lncRNA (ENSEASG00005031802.1)". The record is from RNAcentral. Lineage: Eukaryota; Metazoa; Chordata; Mammalia; Perissodactyla; Equidae.
UGAACUCCAGUUCUUGUGGUUGCCGCUGCUGCGGCGGCCAACACUGCUAGGGCCAGUGAUGCCAGUGCUGCUGAGGAAUGAUUCUUUCACCAACCAGUGGCAACAGAACCUCAGCCCUUGAAGGUCAACGCAUUAUUGCUUUUACCGUCAGAAGUUUAAAUCUUCAGGGGGAGAAAUGAAGCAGAGCAGUGCUCAAGGAAUGUUUACAGCUAAGGAGGCUCUAUGGAGGAUUGCCUGAAGGACAUGAAGUCCAUCCAUCUCUCCAGAUACUUUAAAUGGCAUCUCAAGAUCAAGACCUUCAAGCAUAGAAAAAUGACUGAAACAAGACAACAGCAGAUUUCGCUUUUGUGUACUGAACUUGAAGUAAGAAUCUGGUGGGUGACGUCAUGCCAAUCAAGCUGGGUGGCACACAAAUAAAGGCAAUGAACG